GAUGAACGCUGGCGGCGUGCCUAAUACAUGCAAGUCGAGCGAACGGACGUGAAGCUUUCUUCUCUGCUGUUAGCGGCGCACGGGUGAGUGACACGUGGAUAACCUCCCUAUAUGACUGGGAUAACUUCGGGAAACCGGAGCUAAUACCGGAUAAUCUUUUGAACCGCAUGGUUCAAAAGUAAAAGACGGUCUUGCUGUCACUUAUAGAUGGAUUCGCGCUGCAUUAGCUGGUUGGUAAGGUAACGGCUUACCAAGGCAACGAUGCAUAGCCGACCUGGGAGGGUGAUCGGCCACACGGGAACUGAGACACGGUCCAGACUCCUAGGGGAGGCAGCAGUAGGGAAUCUUCGGCAAGGGGCGAAAGCCGGACGGAGCAACGCCGCGUGGGUGAUGAAGGUCUUGGGAUCGUAAAACUCGUUUAUUAGGGAAGAACACAUGUGUAAGUAAAUGUGCACAGAUUGACGGUACCUAAUCAGAAAGCCACGGCUAACUACGUG
Molecule: ribosomal RNA, 497 nt
Filed under: uncultured bacterium
Lineage: Bacteria
Description: partial 16S ribosomal RNA
Rfam family: Bacterial small subunit ribosomal RNA
Source: RNAcentral